AACCCAACACAGAAGGAUCAGCAGCAGUUUCAAAUGACAAGGAACCCUGGCGGUUUUCCAGUGUUCACAGAACCACAAUUACUUACAAUUUUUCACUGUUCCUAACUGUCAGGGCUUUUGUUUUAACACCUGGAUUGUAAGGUGAGGUAGAAGGCAGGACACAAAUGAAAAAAGUAUGCAUGUUUAUUAUGGGAAAUUCAGUAAUUUUCACCAUUACUCAUAGCUCCGGUCCAAGAAAAAGGUGGCAAUAUCAUUUACGAGGACCAAAGAUUUCAUCCCUGAAGGCAGAUGGUGGAACAACAUCAUCAGUGAAGUCUGGCAGAGAAUGACUGACAUGCUUGGUGGAGCCUGGGAGUGGAGAAACAUCCGUAACAAAAGCCUCUUGCAGGGCUGAGGAGAGGUCUUUUGCAAGACCACCAUCCCAACAUAAAGAACACCAACACGAGAAAGGGAUCCCACACCUGACUAUCGGAAGAGUGUGGCAGAAAAAGUGGUCCGAUAUGCUGAGAUCAUCACAUAAUGACUCAUCAGAGCUACACUGCUUCAAUUGAUUGCAAAACUGUGCUGAUGUCAUCAAAGAUAGCUGUGCAGAUUGAUAGACCUCAGAUUGAUCAUGGACCUGCAAGCAUUUGAGCAACCUGUAAUGUUUCAUCAGUGGGGUCGAGAGUUUGUGUGUUAGUACAUUUGCCAGGAAUAUGCUGGUUAGAUUCAUGCACUAGGUCUUAUGUAUACUGAAUGUUUGCUUUAUUUGUUGUAUUUGUUCAUCAUGUAAAAAAAAACAAUCUUAUCCAGAAAAAAACAAAAUCUAUUUUCUUUUCAUUCAGAAAAUGCUCCUUGUUGGGCAAGUAGCCUGUAUAACUCCAAAGAUGUGCUUUAUAGUUGUCCCAUGGGGCCACUACACAGUAAAUGAUACUUUCUUAGGGUGUCCAAGUCAUGACCAUCUGGGCUUUACCACCUGCGUCCUCCCCUGGGAGUUUUAAACCAUAUCAGCACCAGACUGGCCUGGCCAUACAGGGAGAGGAAUGGGCUCCUAUCACCCCCACCCAGGGGUCCUCACUCAGCCUGUCUGGAGCAAACCACACAAAUCAUAUGCUGGCUGGCAUCUGGCCAAACAAUUACA
Tachysurus fulvidraco (yellow catfish) is the source of this 1120-nucleotide long non-coding RNA. RefSeq lists it as uncharacterized. The transcript has 3 exons. The record is from RefSeq and is a predicted model, not a curated record. Lineage: Eukaryota; Metazoa; Chordata; Actinopteri; Siluriformes; Bagridae.